GCAAAAGCAAAAAUGAAACUGAUCCUGAGAACAAAGAUGAUGGAGAAUCUGAUGAUGAUAAUGAUGAUGAUGAUGGAGACGAUGAGGAUGCUGAAAACCAAGAAGAAGAUGAUGGUGGUGACGAGGGAUCAGAUGACAAUGGGAAUGAGGAGGAAGAUGACGACGACGACGAUGAUGACGAUCCUGAAGCUAAUGGUGAAGGAGGAAGCGAUGAUGAUGAUGAUGGUGGAGAGGAUGAAGAGGAGGAUGACGACGAUGACGACGGGGACGGUGACAAUGACGAAGAUGAUGAGGAAGAAGAGGAAGAGGAGGAUGACGAUGACGUCCCCCAACCACCUACUAAGAAGAGGAAAUGAUCGAUGCCUGUUCGCCCCUGCG
RNAcentral lists this long non-coding RNA (378 nucleotides) under Sorghum bicolor (sorghum). Its description in RNAcentral is "long non-coding RNA (SBIC_LNC005971)". The record is from RNAcentral. Lineage: Eukaryota; Viridiplantae; Streptophyta; Magnoliopsida; Poales; Poaceae.